GAUGAACGCUGGCGGCGUGCUUAACACAUGCAAGUCGAACGAAGCGCUUAAAUGGAUUUCUUCGGAUUGAAGUUUUUGUGACUGAGUGGCGGACGGGUGAGUAACGCGUGGGUAACCUGCCUCAUACAGGGGGAUAACAGUUAGAAAUGACUGCUAAUACCGCAUAUGCCUAAGUAUCACAUGGUACAAUAGGGAAAGGAGAAAUCCGCUGAUAGAUGGGCUUGCGUCUGAUUAGCUAGUUGGUAAGGUAACGGCUUACCAAGGCGACGAUCGGUAGCCGGACUGAGAGGUUGAACGGCCACAUUGGGACUGAGACACGGCCCAG
RNAcentral lists this ribosomal RNA (325 nucleotides) under uncultured bacterium. Its description in RNAcentral is "bacterial SSU rRNA". It matches the Rfam family "Bacterial small subunit ribosomal RNA", at positions 28 to 334 of the family's 1533-position model. The record is from RNAcentral.